RNAcentral lists this ribosomal RNA (670 nucleotides) under Streptomyces sp. 317(2010). Its description in RNAcentral is "bacterial SSU rRNA". It matches the Rfam family "Bacterial small subunit ribosomal RNA", at positions 87 to 770 of the family's 1533-position model. Lineage: Bacteria; Bacillati; Actinomycetota; Actinomycetes; Kitasatosporales; Streptomycetaceae. The record is from RNAcentral.
GGGGAUUAGUGGCGAACGGGUGAGUAACACGUGGGCAAUCUGCCCUGCACUCUGGGACAAGCCCUGGAAACGGGGUCUAAUACCGGAUACUCACUGCCUUGGGCAUCCUUGGCGGUGGAAAGCUCCGGCGGUGCAGGAUGAGCCCGCGGCCUAUCAGCUAGUUGGUGAGGUAAUGGCUCACCAAGGCGACGACGGGUAGCCGGCCUGAGAGGGCGACCGGCCACACUGGGACUGAGACACGGCCCAGACUNAUACGGGAGGCAGCAGUGGGGAAUAUUGCACAAUGGGCGAAAGCCUGAUGCAGCGACGCCGCGUGAGGGAUGACGGCCUUCGGGUUGUAAACCUCUUUCAGCAGGGAAGAAGCGAGAGUGACGGUACCUGCAGAAGAAGCGCCGGCUAACUACGUGCCAGCAGCCGCGGUAAUACGUAGGGCGCAAGCGUUGUCCGGAAUUAUUGGGCGUAAAGAGCUCGUAGGCGGCUUGUCACGUCGGUUGUGAAAGCCCGGGGCUUAACCCCGGGUCUGCAGUCGAUACGGGCAGGCUAGAGUUCGGUAGGGGAGAUCGGAAUUCCUGGUGUAGCGGUGAAAUGCGCAGAUAUCAGGAGGAACACCGGUGGCGAAGGCGGAUCUCUGGGCCGAUACUGACGCUGAGGAGCGAAAGCGUGGGGAGCG